GAGGGAAAAGUAAGCGCAAGAGCAGCCAUUAGGCUUCUUUCAGGCUUCAUCUGGAUUUUGGAUUCUGAAGUUGGAGAAACUGCCUUCAAAUUUCUGUGUGCAGAGCAAUGGCCAAGAAAAGGAAAGACUUCCCCGAGUGGAAAAAAAAGAUGAAGAUACAAGCUGGUGAUGAUCCAGAGCAGCUGGUCUCAGGAAAUGAAGAAAAACCCUGAUCACCUUCUCUACAAACACAAGAAUAAAUUGCGACUAGUCUCAAUGGCUGACACGGAGGAGCAACACAGCGACACGUUAACUCCGACUGCUGCAGUUCCUGUAUGAAC
Maylandia zebra (zebra mbuna) is the source of this 320-nucleotide long non-coding RNA. RefSeq lists it as uncharacterized. The record is from RefSeq and is a predicted model, not a curated record. Lineage: Eukaryota; Metazoa; Chordata; Actinopteri; Cichliformes; Cichlidae.